RNAcentral lists this ribosomal RNA (114 nucleotides) under Gaeumannomyces tritici. RNAcentral's name for it is "partial 18S ribosomal RNA". It matches the Rfam family "Eukaryotic small subunit ribosomal RNA", at positions 1721 to 1830 of the family's 1831-position model. Lineage: Eukaryota; Fungi; Ascomycota; Sordariomycetes; Magnaporthales; Magnaporthaceae. The record is from RNAcentral.
CCAGGGAGGUGGGCAACUACCACCCAGGUGCCGGAAAGUUGUACGAACUCGGUCGUUUAGAGGAAGUAAAAGUCGUAACAAGGUCUCCGUUGGUGAACCAGCGGAGGGAUCAUU